Molecule: ribosomal RNA, 234 nt
Filed under: uncultured bacterium
Lineage: Bacteria
Description: partial 16S ribosomal RNA
Rfam family: Bacterial small subunit ribosomal RNA
Source: RNAcentral
UACGUAGGGUGCGAGCGUUGUCCGGAAUUAUUGGGCGUAAAGGGCUCGUAGGCGGUUUGUCGCGUCGGGAGUGAAAACCCAGGGCUUAACUCUGGGCUGGCUUUCGAUACGGGCAGACUAGAGGCAUGCAGGGGAGAACGGAAUUCCUGGUGUAGCGGUGAAAUGCGCAGAUAUCAGGAGGAACACCGGUGGCGAAGGCGGUUCUCUGGGCAUGUCCUGACGCUGAGGAGCGAA